RNAcentral lists this ribosomal RNA (465 nucleotides) under uncultured bacterium. RNAcentral's name for it is "partial 16S ribosomal RNA". It matches the Rfam family "Bacterial small subunit ribosomal RNA", at positions 338 to 795 of the family's 1533-position model. The record is from RNAcentral.
CCUACGUGAGGCUGCAGUAGGGAAUCUUCCACAAUGGGCGAAAGCCUGAUGGAGCAACGCCGCGUGGGUGAAGAAGGUCUUCGGAUCGUAAAACCCUGUUGUUAGAGAAGAAAGUGCGUGAGAGUAACUGUUCACGUUUCGACGGUAUCUAACCAGAAAGCCACGGCUAACUACGUGCCAGCAGCCGCGGUAAUACGUAGGUGGCAAGCGUUAUCCGGAUUUAUUGGGCGUAAAGGGAACGCAGGCGGUCUUUUAAGUCUGAUGUGAAAGCCUUCGGCUUAACCGGAGUAGUGCAUUGGAAACUGGGAGACUUGAGUGCAGAAGAGGCGAGUGGAACUCCAUGUGUAGCGGUGAAAUGCGUAGAUAUAUGGAAGAACACCAGUGGUGAAAGCGGCUCUCUGGUCUGUAACUGACGCUGAGGUUCGAAAGCGUGGGUAGCAAACAGGAUUAGAUACCCCGGUAGUC